Podarcis lilfordi (Lilford's wall lizard) is the source of this 66-nucleotide non-coding RNA. The record is from the annotation of a GenBank genome assembly. NCBI's taxonomy places the organism in Eukaryota, Metazoa, Chordata, Lepidosauria, Squamata, Lacertidae.
UCUUAUGGAAGAACAAAGGAAAUGGUUUCUUGAGAUGGAAACUGCUCUUGGUUACAAUGCUGUUAA